RNAcentral lists this ribosomal RNA (429 nucleotides) under Bacteroidota bacterium. RNAcentral describes it as "Bacteroidetes bacterium partial 16S ribosomal RNA". It matches the Rfam family "Bacterial small subunit ribosomal RNA", at positions 355 to 776 of the family's 1533-position model. Lineage: Bacteria; Pseudomonadati; Bacteroidota. The record is from RNAcentral.
UAGGGAAUCUUUGGCAAUGGGGGGAACCCUGACCGAGCAACGCCGCGUGAGUGAAGAAGGUUUUCGGAUCGUAAAGCUCUGUUGUUAAGGAAGAACGAGUGUGAGAAUGGAAAGUUCAUGCUGUGACGGUACUUAACCAGAAAGGGACGGCUAACUACGUGCCAGCAGCCGCGGUAAUACGUAGGUCCCGAGCGUUGUCCGGAUUUAUUGGGCGUAAAGCGAGCGCAGGCGGUUAGAAAAGUCUGAAGUGAAAGGCAGUGGCUCAACCAUUGUAGGCUUUGGAAACUGUUUAACUUGAGUGCAGAAGGGGAGAGUGGAAUUCCAUGUGUAGCGGUGAAAUGCGUAGAUAUAUGGAGGAACACCGGUGGCGAAAGCGGCUCUCUGGUCUGUAACUGACGCUGAGGCUCGAAAGCGUGGGGAGCGAACAGG